CCUANGGGUGGCUGCAGUCGAGGAUCUUUUGCAAUGGGCGAAAGCCUGACAAUGCGACGCCGUGUGAGCGAUGAAGGUCUUCGGAUUGUAAAGCUCUGUCAGCCUGGAUGAAAGCUUACGAAUGAAUAACUCGUAAGUUUGACGUAACAGGCAGAGGAAGCCACGGCUAACUCCGUGCCAGCAGCCGCGGUAAUACGGAGGUGGCAAGCGUUGUUCGGAUUUAUUGGGUGUAAAGGGUAUGUAGGUGUCCUGUCAAGUCCUUCUUUAAAUACUUUGGCUUAACCAAAGAACUGGGAAGGAAACCGGCAGGAUUGAGUACAGGAGAGGAAAGCGGAAUUCCCGGUGUAAGGGUGAAAUCUGUAGAUAUCGGGAGGAACACCAGUGGCGAAAGCGGCUUUCUGGCCUGAUACUGACACUGAAAUACGAAAGCUAGGGGAGCAAACAGGAUUAGAUACCCUUNUANUC
Molecule: ribosomal RNA, 465 nt
Filed under: uncultured bacterium
Lineage: Bacteria
Description: bacterial SSU rRNA
Rfam family: Bacterial small subunit ribosomal RNA
Source: RNAcentral